RNAcentral lists this unclassified non-coding RNA (387 nucleotides) under soil metagenome. RNAcentral describes it as "partial contains 5.8S ribosomal RNA, internal transcribed spacer 2, and large subunit ribosomal RNA". The stretch from base 1 to 120 matches the Rfam family "5.8S ribosomal RNA", at positions 35 to 154 of the family's 154-position model. The record is from RNAcentral.
GAUGAAGAACGUAGCGAAAUGCGAUAAGUAAUGUGAAUUGCAGAAUUCAGUGAAUCAUCGAAUCUUUGAACGCACCUUGCACCCUUUGGCAUUCCGAAGGGUAUGCUCGUUUGAGUGUCAUUGUACUCUCACACUCUCCGAUCCUAUGGAUUCGGGGAGCUGUGGACUUGGGUGUUGCUGCCUUUCCCUGUGGCUCACCUCAAAUGCGUCAGUGCACCUCUUGGUUGGACAUAGUACGGCGUGAUAAGUGUCUUCGCCGGCACCUCGCAAGAGGGUGGCCGAUCGGGAGCUCUGCGCUUUCAAACCGUCUUCGGACAAUUUCUGACAUCUUGACCUCAAAUCGAGUAGGACUACCCGCUGAACUUAAGCAUAUCAAUAAGCGGAGGA